RNAcentral lists this ribosomal RNA (252 nucleotides) under uncultured bacterium. Its description in RNAcentral is "partial 16S ribosomal RNA". It matches the Rfam family "Bacterial small subunit ribosomal RNA", at positions 524 to 776 of the family's 1533-position model. The record is from RNAcentral.
UACGAAGGGGGCUAGCGUUGUUCGGAAUUACUGGGCGUAAAGCGCACGUAGGCGGACUAUUAAGUCAGGGGUGAAAUCCCGGGCUCAACCCCGGAACUGCCUUUGAUACUGGUAGUCUCGAGUCCGGAAGAGGUGAGUGGAAUUCCGAGUGUAGAGGUGAAAUUCGUAGAUAUUCGGAGGAACACCAGUGGCGAAGGCGGCUCACUGGUCCGGUACUGACGCUGAGGUGCGAAAGCGUGGGGAGCAAACAGG